UACAGAGGUCCCAAGCGUUGUUCGGAUUCAUUGGGCGUAAAGGGUGUGUAGGUGGCGCGCUAAGUCGGGUGUGAAAUUUCGGAGCUUAACUCCGAAACUGCAUUCGAUACUGGCGUGCUUGAGGACUGGAGAGGAGACUGGAAUUCAUGGUGUAGCAGUGAAAUGCGUAGAGAUCAUGAGGAAGACCAGUGGCGAAGGCGGGUCUCUGGGCGGUUCCUGACACUGAGACACGAAGGCCAGGGGAGCAAACGGG
This 253-nucleotide ribosomal RNA is filed under the name uncultured bacterium. RNAcentral describes it as "partial 16S ribosomal RNA". It matches the Rfam family "Bacterial small subunit ribosomal RNA", at positions 524 to 776 of the family's 1533-position model. The record is from RNAcentral.